GAAUGUCCGUGGUUCUGGUUGAG
This 23-nucleotide small RNA is filed under the name Bombyx mori (domestic silkworm). RNAcentral's name for it is "ovarian small RNA-15312". Lineage: Eukaryota; Metazoa; Arthropoda; Insecta; Lepidoptera; Bombycidae. The record is from RNAcentral.